GAUGAACGCUGGCGGCGUGCCUAAUACAUGCAAGUCGAGCGAACAGAUGAGGAGCUUGCUCCUCUGACGUUAGCGGCGGACGGGUGAGUAACACGUGGAUAACCUACCUAUAAGACUGGGAUAACUUCGGGAAACCGGAGCUAAUACCGGAUAAUAUAUUGAACCGCAUGGUUCAAUAGUUAAAGACGGUUUUGCUGUCACUUAUAGAUGGAUCCGCGCCGGAUUAGCUAGUUGGUAAGGUAACGGCUUACCAAGGCAACGAUGCGUAGCCGACCUGAGAGGGUGAUCGGCCACACUGGAACUGAGACACGGUCCAGACUCCUACGGGAGGCAGCAGUAGGGAAUUUUGCGCAAUGGGCGAAAGCCUGACGGAGCAACGCCGCGUGAGUGAUGAAGGUCUUCGGAUCGUAAAACUCUGUUAUUAGGGAAGAACAAAUGUGUAAGUAACUAUGCACGUAUUGACGGUACCUAAUCAGAAAGCCACGGCUAACUACGUG
Molecule: ribosomal RNA, 497 nt
Filed under: uncultured bacterium
Lineage: Bacteria
Description: partial 16S ribosomal RNA
Rfam family: Bacterial small subunit ribosomal RNA
Source: RNAcentral